GGGCUGUGAUGAGGAUAUGAGAUGUCAUGCACCACUCUGAUUUGAUCAAUUCAGUGCUGAUAAAUAUUUCUCACCCAUACAUAUCUGAGCCC
Small nucleolar RNA from Malania oleifera, 92 nucleotides. RefSeq annotates it as small nucleolar RNA Z221/R21b. NCBI's taxonomy places the organism in Eukaryota, Viridiplantae, Streptophyta, Magnoliopsida, Santalales, Ximeniaceae. The transcript has a single exon. The record is from RefSeq and is a predicted model, not a curated record.